This 380-nucleotide long non-coding RNA is filed under the name Vigna radiata. RNAcentral describes it as "long non-coding RNA (VRAD_LNC009229)". The record is from RNAcentral. Lineage: Eukaryota; Viridiplantae; Streptophyta; Magnoliopsida; Fabales; Fabaceae.
GAAUUCAUCAGACCAUGUUGAUACCGGAAGUAUUCUCCAGGGCUAUCCCUUGCAAGCUCCCAUUAAGAAGGAGAUGAAUGAUGAUAUGAACUGUAGUAGUUCAGCAGCAGAAUUACAUAUUUUGUCCCAGAAGAUUGAACAGCCUGAUGAUCAAACCAAAAAAUUACAGUCGUUGGAUUCAGAUAAAACAUCCAGAAAUGGUGACGUCAAACUUUUUGGGAAGAUACUAACCAAUCCUUCAUCAGCACAGAAACCUAAUGUGGGUGCUAAAGGUAGUGAAGAAAAUGGUAUCCACCAUCAUAAGUUCAGCAAACCUUCUGGUGUGAAAUUUGCCGGACAUAAUGCAGAUGGGAAUUUGAAAAUUUUGAAGUUUGACUGUA